This 250-nucleotide ribosomal RNA is filed under the name uncultured bacterium. RNAcentral describes it as "partial 16S ribosomal RNA". It matches the Rfam family "Bacterial small subunit ribosomal RNA", at positions 524 to 773 of the family's 1533-position model. The record is from RNAcentral.
UACGAAGGGGGCUAGCGUUGUUCGGAUUUACUGGGCGUAAAGCGCGUGUAGGCGGGUCGUUAAGAUGGGGGUGAAAUCCCGGAGCUCAACUCCGGAACUGCCUUCAUGACUGGCGGCCUGGACCCAAGGAGAGGCAAGUGGAAUUGCGAGUGUAGAGGUGAAAUUCGUAGAUAUUCGCAGGAACACCAGUGGCGAAGGCGACUUGCUGGACUUGUGGUGACGCUGAGACGCGAAAGCGUGGGGAGCAAAC